GGAUGCGAGGGUAAUCUGGCUGCGACAUCUGUCGCCCUGUUGAUCAAGGCUGGCUCCGCAGAUCUAGCUGGCUGGCUUGGGUGUCCUGUCCUCCCUCACCACUCCACCUGCCUUCCCCCAGAGCUGCAAACCUCGACGCGGAUGGUCUUCCCUGAACAGACGAGAGCUGCUCCCUCCUCAGUCAGGGCUGGAUGCGUAGCUCGCUCCCCUGCUCGAUCCUCUGCACGAGAAUAUACAUUGCAUUUCUGGAAUCUGGCAAACACUCUCCCAAAGCAGCGGUAUCACUUUACUCUGGCCUUUG
RNAcentral lists this small nuclear RNA (301 nucleotides) under Jaculus jaculus (lesser Egyptian jerboa). RNAcentral describes it as "7SK RNA (ENSJJAG00000004005.1)". It matches the Rfam family "7SK RNA". From Rfam's summary of the family: 7SK was discovered as an abundant small nuclear RNA in the mid-70s but a possible function has only recently been suggested. Lineage: Eukaryota; Metazoa; Chordata; Mammalia; Rodentia; Dipodidae. The record is from Rfam by way of RNAcentral.